Molecule: long non-coding RNA, 1222 nt
Filed under: Dasypus novemcinctus (nine-banded armadillo)
Lineage: Eukaryota; Metazoa; Chordata; Mammalia; Cingulata; Dasypodidae
Description: lncRNA (ENSDNOG00000052483.1)
Source: RNAcentral
GUGGCACUGCUCAUAUUUAUGUCCAGAGACAGUUUCUCUUCUUUGUGGCCAUCUUGGGCCACUGUUCUCUAGAUGAAUAGUCCCAUGCAUGCAUCCUGUUUCUACUGACCUUUAGACUCCACCAAUAUUUUUGCCUUCUCUAUUCACCAUGACUUCCUCUUUGUAAAGUCAGCUCUGUUUAUCUCACUCUGCUUGGUUCCCUAGCCUUUGCUUCUUACUUCUCCCACAGCUAGAGGCACAAUGUCUUGAGUGUUGCUGAAACUCUCUCUCAAUAUAUUUAGCAUGUUUUUCACACUGUUAUUUUGAUAAUUACAUGCUGACUGCUAGACUUUGAACAAUUUGACUUUAAGCAACUUUAGAGCAGUGGCCAUCUCUUAUUCUUGAAGUCCCAGAAACUAGCAUUCUUUUUACUAGAAUAGAUAACACAUACAUUUUGAAUAAGUGAAAGCUAAGCGAAUAGUCAUAACCCUGUUUAAUAGAUUCUUGGUGGCUGUCUUAAUGGCUCUUGGAUGGCUACCUUCUAGCUAUCUCUUUUUCUCUACUCAGUAUGCCUGUUGGGGUGCCCUACUGUGUUUCAUUUUAGAAAAGCCCUUUGAAUAUGUGAUACUUCAGGAGGUAUCCAAAGGAAGGUCCAGGAUGUAGCAGUCUGAGCAGAUGGUUCUGAAUCGGGAAGAUAAGAAGGCGGCCACUGCAGUGGGAGCAUGUAAAGGGGGACUAUAUUACAAGAAUGGAAAAAGGAUCACCCUCAAAAGUACUUUAUUUCAAAAGAACAAAAACGACAGAAACAAUGCUGAAAAGAACAUAGGAGAGAUGGAAGCCCAAUAUCCUAAUUUUAUAGCUGGAAAAAAAUAAAAGUGACUUUCCCAGGGUCAUACAACUCAAUUGCUAGGCUGAGAUUUAAUCCCAGAAGUUCUCUGUCUACUACAGCAUGUAUCUUGCAUGUAGAUUAUUUUGUGACUUGCUUUGUAGUUCCUAAGAAGCAGGGUAACUUGUGAACAGAUUAAAAUUUUAAAGAACCAACUGAGUAGGUCACAUACUUUUGAAGAUUUCUAUACAAUAAAGUGAUUAGGUGAGGACUAUGUAAUAUACUGUAUUAUUUUAAUUCAUCUAUCUGUGUCUGUUCUGCUAAGGCACUGCUUCAUGUACAUUGCCCAUAAUUUGCAUAUAUUCUAAAGUAAAUUAGCAAUUUCAUAUUUUUGCUCCCUUAAAAGAUAAAGUGUGA